Electrophorus electricus (electric eel) is the source of this 150-nucleotide non-coding RNA. NCBI's taxonomy places the organism in Eukaryota, Metazoa, Chordata, Actinopteri, Gymnotiformes, Gymnotidae. The record is from RefSeq and is a predicted model, not a curated record.
CUGUAUUGCUGGUGUUUUUUCUCUCCAUAAAACAACUGACACAAAUGAGAAUGAACAAGACGAAACGGCACUGGACUUUGACCCUCGGAGAACAUGACCAUGUGAAAAUGAGAACGGAACAGUAGAGAGAGACCCAGAGCAACUUACAAU